GGGGUCGUGGCCCAGUCCGGCAGGGCGACUGACUCCAGAGAGCCCGCCUCUGACGAACUACCUGAUAUACGGAACGGCCGGGUUGAUCACCGGGCGUGACGACGACGCUCUGGAGUUCCGAGGCGGAUCGGAGAUAUCAGUCGAUCGGGGGUUCAAAUCCCUCCGACCCCA
This 171-nucleotide transfer RNA is filed under the name Salinarchaeum sp. Harcht-Bsk1. It matches the Rfam family "tRNA". From Rfam's summary of the family: Transfer RNA (tRNA) molecules are approximately 80 nucleotides in length. Their secondary structure includes four short double-helical elements and three loops (D, anti-codon, and T loops). The record is from Rfam by way of RNAcentral. Lineage: Archaea; Methanobacteriati; Methanobacteriota; Halobacteria; Halobacteriales; Natronoarchaeaceae.